GACCGCGUAGCUCAGUUGGCAGAGCAAUUGAGCUAGUAUUCCAAAGGUCGUAGGUUCGAUUCCCACCGUGGUCA
This 74-nucleotide transfer RNA is filed under the name Paramuricea clavata. It matches the Rfam family "tRNA". Rfam says of the family: Transfer RNA (tRNA) molecules are approximately 80 nucleotides in length. Their secondary structure includes four short double-helical elements and three loops (D, anti-codon, and T loops). Lineage: Eukaryota; Metazoa; Cnidaria; Anthozoa; Malacalcyonacea; Plexauridae. The record is from Rfam by way of RNAcentral.